AGAACGUGGCAGAGGAGACAUCGUGAUGAGGAAGACUGUUCCUCCAGGAUGCGGCUCAGCUCUUGUGCUCUGGGUGUGCUGACAUGGCAAUUUUCCAAAACGUGAGAAAUCUGGCUGCCUAAUACCUGGUAGCGGGGCACUAUCCUUGUAUUCCUCCUUG
This is a small nuclear RNA of Egretta garzetta (little egret), 160 nucleotides long. RefSeq annotates it as U1 spliceosomal RNA. NCBI's taxonomy places the organism in Eukaryota, Metazoa, Chordata, Aves, Pelecaniformes, Ardeidae. The record is from RefSeq and is a predicted model, not a curated record. The transcript has a single exon.